Molecule: ribosomal RNA, 253 nt
Filed under: uncultured bacterium
Lineage: Bacteria
Description: partial 16S ribosomal RNA
Rfam family: Bacterial small subunit ribosomal RNA
Source: RNAcentral
UACGUAGGGUGCAGGCGUUACUCGGAAUUACUGGGCGUAAAGCGUGCGUAGGCGGUCUUUUAAGUCAGAUGUGAAAUCCCCGGGCUUAACCUGGGAACUGCGUUUGAAACUGAAAGGCUAGAGUGUGGCAGAGGGGAGUGGAAUUCCACGUGUAGCAGUGAAAUGCGUAGAUAUGCGGAGGAACACCGAUGGCGAAGGCAGCCGCCUGGGAUAACACUGACGCUCAUGCACGAAAGCGUGGGGAGCAAACAGG